Long non-coding RNA from Oncorhynchus tshawytscha (Chinook salmon), 2053 nucleotides. The record is from Ensembl. NCBI's taxonomy places the organism in Eukaryota, Metazoa, Chordata, Actinopteri, Salmoniformes, Salmonidae.
CUGGGUGUGGGGAUAAGCUGUCUGUCUGUCUCCUUUUUAUUUGUCUUAUUUUUCAGAGGUUUUUGGUUUUGAAAUGCCGUAACUCACAGAAGUUUGCUUUGAAGUAUGGGAUGGGCAACCACUCCAAAAGGAGCAGACCUGAAAGACAAUCCCAGGAGUGAUUAGAGGCUAUUUAGCAUAAGGGUCAGGUGCAACACUGCAACCAACAUAACCUUAUACCACAGCCUUUGAGCAGAGACCUGCAAGCUAAACCAACAGACUCAUCCUAUAGCGACAUUGCAGGAUAACCCUUAAUUGGUGUUCAGCAUGGCCAAUCACACCAGCGUCCUGAGAUGCAUCCUGCUGCUGCUAUUGGCCGUCACUCUGGCCUCGGCUUUGAGAACAUUGGACACGAAUGAAGAGCUGGAGAAGACUGGCUUCGGGACCCCGCCCCCUCGCCACGGCCUCAAACUACUCCUCUGGUAUGUCCAGACCUGCAUCGACAACAACAUGGUGUCUCUCUGUGACCCCAGGGAGGGAGCAUACGGGUUCCAUAUGUUCAAGAACUAUAAACUGUUACUCCCCAAACUGAAAGACCAGAACCUGUACACCUACUACACCAUUGGUAACCUCCAUUCCCACGGUGCAGAGAACCUGCCCUAUGAAGUGAGGCAAUACUAUGACAAGGACAACCUCCUCAGCAACCAGGACAGGGUGUUGGUGAAGUACAACCAGAACAACAAUCACAUCGACAAGAUCUACAUCUCAGAGCACUACAAGCAACGCAAGACGUACAUGAUCGGGCCCAAUCUUCUCUCCUCUCUCAGACAGCCCAGCUGGCUUGCAAUGAUAUGAUAGUAUGAAUAUCUAAUCUGUACAUUAUGCUAUUCACUGUUGUUUUUCUUGACAUAAACCUGAUGGCAUUACUAAACCUGUAACAUGUCAACCUGACUUCAUGGGUGAUGUGUUUACUGUAACUUUCUGUUUCCUUUACAGACACGCUAUAGAAAUGCAUUUUUACAGACAGAACAUUGCGAUUCUGAGUGCACUGAAAUCAAGUUAAUUUAUGUUUGCUAUAAUGCAGGUCAGUUUAGCACAUUGACCAAUGUCCUUGUUCAAUCAUUCCUAUUGAUGUUGAUUCAACUGAUGACUUACAUGGCUAUAAAAUGUGAAAGUAAUGCAAAAGAGGGUAUAUUUUUGUUGUUGUUUCCGAUUGUUUCAUGCUACUUCUUAUACAAUUUUAGAAGUGAUGAUCACAGAGUGACAGUGUUCUCUAUGCCAGUGGCGGUCGGUUCCUUUCAAGUUGAGGGAGGACGAUGAUUUUUUUUAUGAGCAAGGCCUUAUUUCUGUUACAGCAUAUUAGAUGUCUGUCAUUCAUAUUCCAUUCACCCAGCUCAAAGUAACAUUGAUAGGUUUAGGCUACUUACUACAUGAUACUCAAAUUUUCCGUAUACCCAUCAUGAGGUUGCUACAAUCUAGCGUAUGAAUGAAAGUUUACAACCUAGAUGCACAGGUCGAGAGAAAUUUGAAUAUUCAAGGUGACAGACAUUGACACAUUCAAUAUCACCUUGCACACUCUUGCCUGCAUCUAGCUGAUCUAGGGUGUAACCAUUAGUCCAACAGUUGCAAACAAGAGUUUCUAUUGGACAAAUUCAGGUAUGUUUAUCCCCAUUGUGUUUCGUUUGCUUCCAUUUAAGUAAUGUUUUCAACAGAAUCGGCAGAAUGAAUAAACCGCGGAUCACACACAAAAGCAGUUCACUUUCAUAGCAGCCAGAUCGUUGUAUAAAGAGUGUUCAAUAAUUCCUUAUCACACCUACGCGCUCUCCUCCUCUCACCUUUUCCCUUCUCUUGUGUUCUUCAGUGCACAACACAUCAGCUGUCUGUGACCAGGCGAAAAAACCUUUCCAAGUCAGACCUUCAUAUUACGUUGUUGUCACCAUAUUAGCUAACAUGAAGUCAACACCAUAGCUACAAGAACUAACGCAUUAGUAAACCCACUACAAUCAUGAAGUACAGUGUUGCAAGCAGUUUAGCAGUUACACUGGCAGCCCCGGUGGCAAUAAAUUAAUACAAC